UUACAAUAUAUGAUAGCCUUUUUUCAAGCCACAUUUGAGUUACACUUGUAAAUCUGUGUUUUGUAUUUCAAUUGGAAUUGAAUGUAAGACUAUGGAAGCUUGCAAAUGAUUACAGUUAUUAGGCCUACAGCUGUUAACACAAAUCGCCUAACCAACAUCAAUUUAGCCAACAUUUGUAACAAUUCAAAUUGGACAACUUACCACUUGUCCACUUUUUCCAGGUUCGGGAACAGCUAUUGUACAAACACGGAAGUACUAGGAUAUAACCUAGGCUACUUUUUCAACGUUUACAGAGCCCUGUUGUGUCUGCUCUAUCAAUUGCUAUCAUAUGCUACAUUCAAAGCAAUUGGAAACAUGGAAAUAUCCGACUUCAGUCCAUUCAUGACAACUGGGACUCUGGGAAAAACGUUUGAACUGUCAAUCAACUCGGAAUUCAAAGUCGGAAGCUGGAGCAUCUUUCUUGAGCUGCAACUUUCCGACUUGAAGAUCACUGACGUUAUGAUUUGACCUAGUUUUUUUCCGAGUUCCCAGUUGGCUUGAAAGCAGCAAUGUCACUGUUUAUAAACUCAAGAGACGCAACAUCGCGAGAUUUCUGGGAACGCUUGCUUCAACAGACACACCCUCAGCCCUCAAAUUUAGUCGACACUUCUGAUGACGUUUCAUGACGAGAUUACACUUGCAGGGUAUGGAGGAUAUAGUUAAUCAAUAGAGGUUGUGACACCAGGAAUAAAGAGUAUCAAAUUCGGGGUGCAUUUUCUACCAAGAAUGAACAUACUCGCCGAUGUAUCGAAUCCCAACACGGCUGCUUUAUUUAGCCUUGAAUCGUUUUUAAUGCUUUCUUUUUCUUACGGUGACAGAGUCUGAGAGUUGAAAAGUAUCGGGCUUCAUCCGACAAUCCUCGUUCCUCUCAGCCUUUAAAUCUGUCAUCCAUAACUUAUGAAAACCUGUCUCUUUUUGUCAAACCGCUCACCCUCUUCAGGAUUCGAAUUUAUAGAAGGGGAGCCUAAAUGUGUUAAGCCUAAACACCACAGGAGUUGAAUCUUGUUUAUCUCAAAUAAGAGAAAUGUCUUAAUUUAUAAAUGCAAUAUCAAGUUCACAUCAACGUAAUGUUGCCGAAAUUGUUUUGAUUGUAAAACAAGUAAUUCAAGACACAGAAUUGGAGGAAGACGUGAGAAUGACAAAUAUACUCUAAUUGUUUGAAAUCAGAGGCCCAGCCGGGCACAGGUGUGGAGUUCAUAAACAGAGGCCUAGCAGGGCGCAGGUGUCAAGGCCACGGACAGAGAACCAGCUAGCGGUGGAGUAGUCCGUACAGGAGCGGAGGACUAAUGCGGUUAGAGGUGUGGAAUGGAUGCUGGGACUCCUACAAAAUCAUCUGAUUGGAAGCAUGUUUUUUUUUUGCAUCACUCUUUAUCAAUGCCACCAAAUACCCAGCAUACCACAGAGCAUUUUCAACAACCUACGUGAAGGUCUGCUUCCUCUAAAGGCUGAACUGCAUCUCAUGUUGACCCAACAAAUGUGCCUUGUUGCCAAUUCUGAGCAGUACAGCCCUCCUGGCCAAAUGUAUCCAGAGAUAUAGCCCUGGUGUACUCUCUUAGAACUAUGUCUACUGAAAUGGCAAGCAUCCUUACUGUCAAAUCAACUUUUAUUCAUAUAUGCAGAACAAUGAACAGUACAGUACAAUGAAAUGCUUACUUGCAAGCUACCUCUCAACAUAGCCCUUAUCAUACAUCAUGUCUUGGGGGUAUGAUAUUUGUGUGUCUUUCUCAUCAUUAUUCACAAUUCAUCAGGACUAUCCGUAAUCCUGGUAGCAUCCACAUUAAUGUAGAAGUGUUUAGAAACAUUCUAUUCUUAUUUACAAUAAGUGACUCCAAAAUAACACAAUACAUUAUUUAUCAGUAAUUUCUAUUAGGCACAAAAUAAUCUGAAAAACAACCAAAACAAAAGAGCAAAUAUUUGUAGAGUCACAAGCUUGAAGUAAUCAUUGUGUGCUAGGAAUAUGGGACCAAAUACUAAACUUUUGACUACUUAAAUACACAAGUGAAUUUAUCCCAAUACUUUUGGUUCCUCUUAAAUGGAGAGACUAUGUAGAAAAAGUGUUGUAAUAAAAAAGUCCUGUAAUAUGGAUGAAAAUACCUUCAAAUUAAAGCUGACAGCCAAAGCCAAUUCACACUUUAAAAAUAACAUUUAUGGUCCAUGGACUAAGGAGUAACGUUAGCCCGAACAGGAACGUAGGACAGGGGACUGACGAGCACAGGUGUGGAGGACAGAGGCCCAGGGGGUGGAGUAGCCCAUACAGGAGUGGAGGACAGGGGACUGACGAGCACAGGUGUGGAGGACAGAGGCCCAGGGGGUGGAGUAGCCCAUAGAGGAGUGGAGGACAGGGGACUGACUGAUGCAGCUGUGGACUGGAUGCUGGUAGAGGGGGUGGGAGUAGGAUGAAAGGUGCCAACAAGAGGCAGGGCUGUCUCCAGCACUGGAACUGUCAGGCCCUGAAAUUCCACAAGCUCGACAAACCCUCUCAUCCUCCCCUUGGACAUCAGGAUCACCUUUCUCCAGUUCCUCAAUGGCAGCCUUAUAAUCCUGCAGCACCAAACCAGUCUGAUCGAAGAGGUACUCCAAAUUAGUUCUCCUAAAGAAAAAAAACAAAUAUGAGAAUACACCGGACUGAGAAUGGAAUAAUUCUAUAAUAACAUUUCACAACGAGAAAUGUGUUGCUGUUUGUAUUAAAUAUAAAAGCAGCAUUAGAUUAUUAAUUGCAUUAAAAGUAUAUUGCCAUUACCAAUGUAUUUGCGUGGAAC
This 2798-nucleotide long non-coding RNA is filed under the name Salmo salar (Atlantic salmon). RNAcentral's name for it is "lncRNA (ENSSSAG00000111637.1)". Lineage: Eukaryota; Metazoa; Chordata; Actinopteri; Salmoniformes; Salmonidae. The record is from RNAcentral.